CAGGAGGUGCAAGCGUUAAUCGGAAUUACUGGGCGUAAAGCGCGCGUAGGUGGUUUGUUAAGUUGGGAUGUGAAAUCCCCGGGCUCAACCUGGGAACUGCAUUUCAAAACUGACUGACUAGAGUAUGGUAGAGGGUGGUGGAAUUUCCUGUGUAGCGGUGAAAUGCGUAGAUAUAGGAAGGAACACCAGUGGCGAAGGCGACCACCUGGACUAAUACUGACACUGAGGUGCGAAAGCGUGGGGAGCAAACAGGAUU
RNAcentral lists this ribosomal RNA (256 nucleotides) under uncultured bacterium. RNAcentral describes it as "partial 16S ribosomal RNA". It matches the Rfam family "Bacterial small subunit ribosomal RNA", at positions 526 to 779 of the family's 1533-position model. The record is from RNAcentral.